AGAGUUUGAUCAUGGCUCAGAACGUACGCUGGCGGCACGCCUUAUACAUGCAAGUCGAACGAAGUAGCAAUACUUAGUGGCAGACGGGUGAGUAACAUGUGGGUAUCUUCCCUUUGGUGAGGAAUAACACGAGGAAACUUGUGCUAAUACUGGAUAAGUCUUUACAGAGAAAGCUUUAUGCACCAUUGGAUGAGCCCGCACUUGAUUAGUUUGUUGGUGGGGUAAUGGCCUACCAAGACUUUGAUCAAUAGCUGAUUUGAGAGGAUGAUCAGCCACAUUGGGACUGAGACACGGCCCAAACUCCUACGGGAGGCAGCAGUGGGGAAUCUUGCACAAUGGAGGAAACUCUGAUGCAGCGAUGCCGCGUGAGUGAAGAAGGCCCUUGGGUUGUAAAGCUCUUUCGUCGGGGAAGAAAAUGACUGUACCCGAAUAAGAAGGUCCGGCUAACUUCGUGCCAGCAGCCGCGGUAAUACGAAGGGACCUAGCGUAGUUCGGAAUUACUGGGCUUAAAGAGUUCGUAGGUGGUUGAAAAAGUUGGUGGUGAAAUCCCAGAGCUUAACUCUGGAACUGCCAUCAAAACUUUUCAGCUAGAGUGUGAUAGAGGUAAGUGGAAUUUCUAGUGUAGAGGUGAAAUUCGUAGAUAUUAGAAAGAACACCAAAAGCGAAGGCAACUUACUGGGUCACUACUGACACUGAGGAACGAAAGCAUGGGUAGCGAAGAGGAUUAGAUACCCUCGUAGUCCAUGCCGUAAACGAUGUGUGUUAGACGUUGGAAAUUUAUUUUCAGUGUCGCAGCGAAAGCGAUAAACACACCGCCUGGGGAGUACGACCGCAAGGUUAAAACUCAAAUGAAUUGACGGGGACCCGCACAAGUAGUGGAGCAUGUGGUUUAAUUCGAAGAUACGCGCAGAACCUUACCAACACUUGACAUGUUCGUCGCGACUUUAAGAGAUUAAAGUUUUCGGUUCGGCCGGACGAAACACAGGUGCUGCAUGGCUGUCGUCAGCUCGUGUCGUGAGAUGUUGGGUUAAGUCCCGCAACGAGCGCAACCCUCACUUUUAGUUGCCAUCAUUUAGUUGGGCACUCUGAAAGAACUGCCAGUGAUAAGCUGGAGGAAGGUGGGGAUGACGUCAAGUCCUCAUGGCCCUUACGUGUUGGGCUACACACGUGCUACAAUGGUAUUUACAACAGGAAGCAAAACAGCGAUGUUAAGCAAAUCCUUAAAAAAUACCUCAGUUCGGAUUGCACUCUGCAACUCGAGUGCAUGAAGCUGGAAUUACUAGUAAUCGUGGAUCAGCGUGCCACGGUGAAUGCGUUCCCGGGUCUUGUACACACCGCCCGUCACACCAUGGAAGUUGGUUACACCUUAAG
RNAcentral lists this ribosomal RNA (1371 nucleotides) under uncultured bacterium. RNAcentral's name for it is "16S ribosomal RNA". It matches the Rfam family "Bacterial small subunit ribosomal RNA". The record is from RNAcentral.